Molecule: ribosomal RNA, 865 nt
Filed under: uncultured bacterium
Lineage: Bacteria
Description: bacterial SSU rRNA
Rfam family: Bacterial small subunit ribosomal RNA
Source: RNAcentral
CAAGUCGAGGGGCAGCAGGUUUGUAGCAAUACAGAUGCUGGCGACCGGCAAACGGGUGCGGAACACGUACGCAACCUUCCUCUAACUGGGAGAUAGCCCACCGAAAGGUGGAUUAAUAUCCCAUAAUAUAUAUGAGUGGCAUCACUUAAAUAUUAAAGUUCCGACGGUUAGAGAUGGGCGUGCGCCUGAUUAGGUAGUUGGCGGGGUAACGGCCCACCAAGCCUACGAUCAGUAGCUGAUGUGAGAGCAUGAUCAGCCACACGGGCACUGAGACACGGGCCCGACUCCUACGGGAGGCAGCAGUAAGGAAUAUUGGUCAAUGGACGCAAGUCUGAACCAGCCAUGCCGCGUGGAGGAUGAAGGUCCUCUGGAUUGUAAACUUCUUUUCUCUGGGACGAAACCCCCGAUUUCUAUCGGGCCUGACGGUACCAGAGGAAUAAGCACCGGCUAACUCCGUGCCAGCAGCCGCGGUAAUACGGAGGGUGCAAGCGUUAUCCGGAUUUACUGGGUUUAAAGGGAGCGUAGGCGGGCAGUUAAGUCAGUGGUGAAAUCUCUGGGCUUAACCCGGAAACUGCCAUUGAUACUAUCUGUCUUGAAUAUUCUGGAGGUAAGCGGAAUAUGUCAUGUAGCGGUGAAAUGCUUAGAUAUGACAUAGAACACCCAUUGCGAAGGCAGCUUACUACGGGAUUAUUGACGCUGAGGCUCGAAAGCGUGGGGAUCAAACAGGAUUAGAUACCCUGGUAGUCCACGCCCUAAACGAUGAUUACUCGACAUUAGCGAUAUUACAGUUAGUGUCUAAGCGAAAGCAUUAAGUAAUCCACCUGGGAAGUACGACCGCAAGGUUGAAACUCAAAGGAAUUGGCGG